UUGGAAGUGUGUCUACUGUUG
This 21-nucleotide non-coding RNA is filed under the name Arabidopsis thaliana (thale cress). The record is from RNAcentral. Lineage: Eukaryota; Viridiplantae; Streptophyta; Magnoliopsida; Brassicales; Brassicaceae.